AUUGAACGCUGGCGGCAUGCCUUACACAUGCAAGUCGAACGGCAGCACGGGGGCAACCCUGGUGGCGAGUGGCGAACGGGUGAGUAAUACAUCGGAACGUGCCCAGUAGUGGGGGAUAGCCCGGCGAAAGCCGGAUUAAUACCGCAUACGACCUACGGGUGAAAGCGGGGGAUCGCAAGACCUCGUGCUACCGGAGCGGCCGAUGUCAGAUUAGGUUGUUGGUGGGGUAAAAGCCUACCAAGCCGACGAUCUGUAGCUGGUCUGAGAGGACGACCAGCCACACUGGGACUGAGACACGGCCCAGACUCCUACGGGAGGCAGCAGUGGGGAAUCUUGGACAAUGGGCGCAAGCCUGAUCCAGCCAUGCCGCGUGGAUGAUGAAGGCCUUAGGGUUGU
RNAcentral lists this ribosomal RNA (396 nucleotides) under uncultured bacterium. Its description in RNAcentral is "bacterial SSU rRNA". It matches the Rfam family "Bacterial small subunit ribosomal RNA", at positions 29 to 426 of the family's 1533-position model. The record is from RNAcentral.